GCCAGGCGUGGUGGCGGACGCCUGUAGUUCCAGCUACUCAGGAGGCUGAGAUGGGAGAAUUGCUUGAACCCAGGAGGUGGAGGUUGCAGUGAGCUGAGAUCACGCCACUGCACUCCAGCCUGGGUGAUAGAGCGAGACUCCGUCUCAA
Molecule: non-coding RNA, 148 nt
Filed under: Pan troglodytes (chimpanzee)
Lineage: Eukaryota; Metazoa; Chordata; Mammalia; Primates; Hominidae
Source: Rfam by way of RNAcentral